CUGUAUGGCCAAAGGUUCUCCUCAAAACCUGAUCUCGUCAGAUCUCAGAAACUAAGCAGGGCUGGGCCUGGUUAGUACUUGGAAGGAGGACUGCUGGGAAUAUCAGGUGUCUCACUGG
This 118-nucleotide ribosomal RNA is filed under the name Periophthalmus magnuspinnatus. Lineage: Eukaryota; Metazoa; Chordata; Actinopteri; Gobiiformes; Gobiidae. The record is from RNAcentral.